Long non-coding RNA from Canis lupus familiaris (dog), 1709 nucleotides. RefSeq lists it as uncharacterized. The record is from RefSeq and is a predicted model, not a curated record. The transcript is spliced from 3 exons. NCBI's taxonomy places the organism in Eukaryota, Metazoa, Chordata, Mammalia, Carnivora, Canidae.
GCUGAUGGAGUCAGGGCGUCCAGCCGCUCCUCCAUGCUGACCCCCGCUCCUCUGACAACUGCAGCAGCCCCGGCCCAGCCGGCGUCUGGGUGAGACAGGUCUCUGGGGCCGCCUUUCCCGUGGGUUGUUCUCCGAAAGAAGUGGUGUUGAUGUCAGCAGAUGCCUGUCACUUUCCUUCCCCAGCAAAAUCUCAACUGUCAGACGGAGGCUCAAAGACGUCAAAGAACUCGUCAAAGGUUGCACAGCCAGUCAUUGUGGAGCUGGGAUUUGAACCUAGGACCAUCUCUGCUCCCAGGGUUUUCCCCUGCAUCCCAGAGCAGUGCUGAGAGAGCUGGCCUAGGGGGCCCCUCACAGACUCCUGGCCUCUCUGGGCCUUGGAAGUUUCCUCGGAGAUCCAGUGGUUGAGAGUUUCCAGUGAGCCAGUGGAUGCCCAGCCCAGCCCAGUGCCCGGCCCAGAGCAGGUGUGGGGUGAACGCAAGCUCCUGGGACACAGGACCAAAUUUUCAUGCCUCCCGCAUCUGUGAGCAUCCAGGCAGGACGUGACAAGUCACUCGGAGGACACAGGUGAAGAGACUGAAGUAAAGUGAGGUCUGUGUAGUAAAGGUGCAGACCCUCAGGGGCUUGGGAACAGCAGGGACCCCUAGACCUGAAGGGACAGAAAUGGAGCUAUGGGAGCCCAGUAGCUGAGGUGCCUCUGCAAGUAGGAGGCAGGAGCUCCAAGGGACACAGCCUCUGCCAACGAGUGCCACACUGCCAAGCAGGGCAGAGGUGCCCCCAGCAUCCUUCCCCGCUUCUCCCAGCCUCCCAUGGGGUGAUCCCUCCUGGAAGCUGGAGUCGGGGGGAAGCCCGUGGAGGUCAGCCUCCCAGGGAGCGGAGAAGAAAGUGGCGGACAGGUGGAAGGUGGACAGGUGGAAAAGGAAAAACCUGCCACAGCCCUCAUCCCAGGAAUUUGGAAGAGUUUUGGAGGCUUCCAUUUGGGAGUGGGGACAAGGGAGUCCUAAGCGGGCAUGGUCUUCGCCCCAUGGUCCUGAUACUGAGUCCCACAUGCCCUUCCCCCAGGACUCCUCCCUCCUCUCCACAGGGCCUCACCCUGCCCGUAAGAAUCUCACUUCACAUCUAGUGCUCCCAAAACAGUGCUCCUAGGGAGUUGGAGAGGAUGGCCAGACAGGCUCGGGUUCACCAGUUCCCAACUGACUCGUGUCCUGGCCUUAGCAGCUUCGCCUCUCUGAGGUCGAAGAGGCCCCGUCGGCAGAGUCCAAGCACAAAGCACAGUGCUCGACGCGUAGUGGGUGCUCCGUAGCCCAUCUGCUUCCCCCCCCUCCGCCCUCCUUCCAAUAAGCCUCUGUGGCGUCACGGGUUCGCAUAACAGCGCCCGGGCUCCUGCCACGUGCCAGCCUCCGCCAGGCCCCGACCCGGGCUGCAGAGAACCUGAGAAUCAUUUGUCCUGCAAUGAAAACUGACAGAGCAUCUCCUACGCGCUCGGCUCUGGGGACGCAGCGGUGACAAGACAGCGCUGGACUCUGCUCCUGUGAGGUCUGCGAGGUCUCGGGGAGGCAGACCCCCACGCUGGAGUUUCUGGAGUCCGGGUGCUGUGUCGGGGGCGGCCCAGAGGGCUGCGGGGUGGGGGCCCUGGCAUGGGUCCGCAGUACACACCUAGGAAAGAGCCCCCACCCCGUGAGCUGGGGAGCUGUCCCUGGAUGGCGGGCACA